This 116-nucleotide ribosomal RNA is filed under the name Ochotona princeps (American pika). The record is from RNAcentral. Lineage: Eukaryota; Metazoa; Chordata; Mammalia; Lagomorpha; Ochotonidae.
GACUACAACCAUUCAUUUAGAAUAUACCUAAUACCAUCUGACCAUGGCAGCUAAGUAGGAUUGAGCCUAUUUAGUACCUGAUAAAAGGUUACUUGGAAUUACCAGGUGCUGAGCUU